CAACCACAGAUUUUUCUUGUAUUACUCUCUUGUUGGAUCACCUGAGAAUAAACCCAAGCACCAACAGAAUUUUCUGUUUACCCUGGAUGUCUUGAAAUACCACGGCUCUCAGGAAUUACUUUGUUGUUUUAUUUAAAGGCUGUAUUGCAUCUUCAUUCCAAGACAUAAAAACCUCUAUAUCCACUAACUGUGCUGUGCUGUGACACCAACACUGGCUGUCAAUAUAGAUUCCUGGAUGAUGCCUGCACAUUCAAAUACUCAUGCACUGGCUUCCUUCAGCCCCAUGAUGCAGAACAAUUGGUGACUGGGGACGCACAGCUGAAGGUGUUUCACUGCUUUAUUUCCUCUGCCUCUGAAUUGUCAGACUUGUGAGCAUCUAUCUGGCACAUGGAACUGAAUUUGUACUUGGGCAAGGGUGGAGUCCAAAGUGACAAUUUUGGGUAAUUCACUUUGUUCUUUAAGGCUUUAAACUUUCUGCAUCACUCCUUCAGCUUC
Molecule: long non-coding RNA, 495 nt
Filed under: Junco hyemalis (dark-eyed junco)
Lineage: Eukaryota; Metazoa; Chordata; Aves; Passeriformes; Passerellidae
Description: lncRNA (ENSJHYG00000016155.1)
Source: RNAcentral